Molecule: long non-coding RNA, 976 nt
Filed under: Monodelphis domestica (gray short-tailed opossum)
Lineage: Eukaryota; Metazoa; Chordata; Mammalia; Didelphimorphia; Didelphidae
Description: lncRNA (ENSMODG00000041654.1)
Source: RNAcentral
UUGUUGUUUUUUGUUUAGCCUGUACAGCCUAUUUUAGAAUCAAUACUAUGGAUUAAUUCUAAGGCAAGAGAGUGGUAAGGGCUAAGCAAUGGGGAUUAUGUGACUUGCUCAGUCACAUAGCUAGGAAGUGUCUGAGGUCAGAUUUGAAUCCAGCACCUCCCAUCUCCAGGCCUGGUUCUCCAUCCACUGAACCAUGUUGCUGUCUCCAUAAAAGAAGCCAUGUUGAUAUAGGGAUCUUUACCCCACACUAAAACCCUCAUGAUCUAACCUCAUUAUCUAUAAGCAGACCAAGUGCUAUGUAGGUGGAGCUUUCGAGGUUUUUUCCAUCCCCCAUGCAAGAGAAGAGUAUGCUCUGAACCAGUCCCACCAAGUCUGAUCAAUAUAUAAAUAGGAUCAAUUCCUCUCAUUCUUUGCAAAGAGAGGGAAGUGAAAAGUAACCCUUGUCCAAACUGCCCUUCACUGUCAUUUUUGCUGAGAAUCACUAAUAUUUUGUCUGCUCAAAGUCCUUAAAUGUAUCUAGGAUCUCAUCGAUAGGGAUGCCUCCUCUACAUAGAUAUUAUCCAUGCCUUCCCUCCCUGCGCAUUUGUCCAUGCCCUUCCAUAAGCCCACUCCAGGAGAGCACGCCAAACCCCCUACUUUAUCCUUAUGUUAAGAAGAUGUCAGUGUAGCAGUCUGGUUAUCCUUUGGGCUCAAAAUAAGACUAUCCCAUCUAGGUUUUUUUUUUUUUUUGUUUUUUUUUUUUUAGUAUUCUGCAUCAUUUAUUUAAAUAUCUAUUUUUAUUUAUGCAUUUACAAACUUUAGUAGUACUCAUAUUGUAACUCUGCUUUCAGUACAUUUUAAAACUAUUUGCAGAGGAAUCAUCUUUUUGUUUUUUUUAAAAUGAGGUCCAUGUACAAAAACUAGGCGACAGAUAUAAAAAAUGUUUCCUUUCAUACCUUUUCAGCCAUCAGGAAAAAUAAAUCAAGUGACAAAACCA